This 253-nucleotide ribosomal RNA is filed under the name uncultured bacterium. RNAcentral's name for it is "partial 16S ribosomal RNA". It matches the Rfam family "Bacterial small subunit ribosomal RNA", at positions 524 to 776 of the family's 1533-position model. The record is from RNAcentral.
UACGUAGGGUGCAAGCGUUAAUCGGAAUUACUGGGCGUAAAGCGUGCGCAGGCGGUUUUGUAAGACAGAUGUGAAAUGCCCGGGCUUAACCUGGGAACUGCACUUGUGACUGCAAGGCUAGAGUUUGGCAGAGGGGGGUAGAAUUCCACGUGUAGCAGUGAAAUGCGUAGAUAUGUGGAGGAAUACCGAUGGCGAAGGCAGCCCCCUGGGUCAAGACUGACGCUCAUGCACGAAAGCGUGGGGAGCAAACAGG